GUGAGGAAGAUUCUGUCCUCGCCUAUCAAAUUUGCAAAAUUUGAAGCAUGGAGCUUGUGGAUCACCGCAGGACCUGGAUUCGCCAGAACAAGCUGCAUACCAAGAAAAUACCAACUCCUCCGGUAAGCAUAUUUCACCAACUUUACUCCACUUUUUGGGUGCUGGUCUUGUCUUGUUAAAAAAACUUGCUAGAAAUCCAAGGCAUAUAAAGUAGAAGCGGAUGGUGUUUUUUACCUGCACGUCUCUCUUCUUUAGACUGCUGUUUAACUCCUCAAGUGCAUGGAUUCCACUAGUGUCAAUGUCCGUAACGGCUGCAUACAAACAACAAUACAUGUUAAUAACUCUCCUAUAAAACCAACGAGCAUACCUUUAGCCCACAGGAGGGAGAUGGGAAGGGAAUCUUACGUGAUAAAUCUACUACCAAAAACUGAAUUCUUGGCUGGUUCUCUGCUUUAACUCUUUCUUCCUCAUCUGUCAGCCAUCUCAGUAACCUGAUAGGAAGUUGAUUUGGGCAACAUGAAAUCUAUUACAAACAGAAACAACUAGCCAGAUUUUAAGACCCCCCGAUUUAUCCUAAUGCUGCAUACUCGUGUACUGUAAGAUAAAGAGCAGUAACGUGCCACGCCAUGCUUCUGUGGGAUAUAAGGCCUUUAAUGAGAUUAUUAGAAAACCUGAAUCAAUAAAUAUAACUAUGUAAUACUUUACUUGUACGUUUAAAAUUGGUUUAUUUCAAUUCCCAAAAAGAAGAAAAGAUAAAUAAAUUUCAUAAGAGAAAGCUAUGCCAUGUCUACAAAUUCUUAGGAGAUCAUUUCAAACAAUUGAAGGAUUUCUCUAACUUUUUAUUGGUUCAGGUGCAAAAAUCAAAACAGUGUGUUACAGGCUGUUUGGAUUUAUUUAUUUGCUUUUUUUAACUCAUAGUCAUGUACUUAUAAACUUUUAAAAAUAACUUUAAAUAUAGUUUAAUUAAUUAAGUUUACUUUUGUGCAAGAGUUUGUGGGUUCGAGUUGGAUAAUGCUCCUCCGUGUGUCAUUAUUUUAAAGGUUAUUUGUGUUAUGUUAUAAUUAAUGUAUAUAUACCAUAUUGUUGAUGAAUGUAUACAAUUUUUUACUCAAAAAUUUAAGUUUAUUCCUAUAUCUCUAACGGGCUCUACAUAAGUAUCUUUGAACUUUCAGCAAAAAGAGUGCUCAUAAAUUGAAAGCAGAAUAAAUUAUUAAAAUCCAAAGGUCAAGAAUUGGAUUCUGUCCAAACCCAAAGGUCAAAAGUAUUUGUUGGGUUAUAAACCAAAACAAAGAAGCACCUCUUAGGAGCUUAUUUAGGACUUAUAAGCUAAGAGCUUAUAGCCAAAGAGAGGAUACCGAGCACAUGUGUCUUCUAUUCUUUUAUCAAACUAUUUAACAAGUUAAAAGCUUAUUCUAUGGUCAAACUAACAGGAACUUAUUCCUUUGACUUCAAAGCUCAAAGGAAGAUGCCAAACACGUGAAUUUUUUAUCAUUAGAAAAAAAUGCCAACCAAACACCUAGACUUAAUUUUUUGGUAUAUAUCUAGAUGUUGACGCCAUAUUUAUGAGGAGCCCUUAUUCCUGACGCCAUCUUUUGGACUAUAUGGAGAGGCUUUGGACGCAUUGCAUCUAAGUUUGGCAGUAUUAGAGACUGAUGGUUCUUAGACCUAAGCAUUUUGUUUAACGCCAUCUCGUCCUUCAUGAGGAAGAGAUUCAGGGAGCUCACUGAUAUUUUGGCUCAAUCCUCUCCAUAAUUUUAUGUCUUGUAUAUCUUAUCCGUAGGUGGCAUCCUCUUGCCACCUCUUAGUAUUAUUCUCCACUUCCUUCUCAACCCAAACAAAAAAAGCCAGGCCAGAUAAACUAUGAUUAUAGAAAUAUUAUGGUGCAUCUUUACCUCUCUCUGACAUAAUUAGAGUUGGAAAAGUAAAUUGCCGAAUCAACUCUCACGAUCAAAACACCUGAAACCUUAGUUGCAUCUGGAUAUUGUUGGGUAUUUCUGUACACAGUUGUCCUAGGGAUCUUUCCAAGAAGGGCUGUCCGAGGUCUGGUAACUUGUAACAAUAUUUUAGCGAAGGAUAUACAGACCUGUCAUAAAACACAGUUAGAAAAGAUAAAAGUAAGUUAGACAUGUAAUUCACAAGUAGUUCAUAACUAAAAAUUGGAGGAAGUAAAUGUAUUUCUCACCGCAAUUAAGAGACCUAUCUCGACAGAGGAAAAAACUACUCCAAAAAAGGCUCCCAUGCAGGCAACAAAAUCAAAUUUGUCUAUCUUCCAUAUCAAAACUACUGCCUCAAAAUCAAGUAGGCCUAUGACAGCUGAGAUAAUGAUGGCAGCAAGAAUGGCAUUUGGGGUGUAUUUAAAAAGAGGUGUAAUGAAUUGCAAGGUUAGAAAUACAACACAAGACAUAACGAUGUUAGACACUGCAGUUUGGCAGCCAGCCAUGUAAUUUACUGCUGAUCUAGAAAAUGAACCUGCAAAUAAUUAGAAAAUAACAAUCAGCUGCGGGCUAAUUAUUAUUCCCACACGAGUGAGCAGGAACAUGAACAGACAAGUUCUUUUGAUGUUCAAGUAUUGGAAGGUAAUGGAGACUAUGUGAGUGACCUUAUUUAUUAACCUGGUAUUUGUUUCUUUCCCCUUCUUUUGAGUUAAUUAUUAGUGUGUGUUUGACAACCUUCAUAAUGUGGUAAGCAAUUUUAUAUACUGGCUUUUUCUUGGCAUGCAUGUAUUGCUAAAUGGCUCCUUGAUAAAUCAUACAGGAAGAAAUAUUACUAUAAGCCAUCCCUCUUUUCUGUAUUUAAAAAUUUACAUUCAUGUGUAAUACAAUAGGUGUUUCCUUCUCACCUGUGGCCACAUAGCAAGAAGUCAUUGAACCAACGAUAUUCAUUGCUCCUAAAGCUACCAUUUCUUUAUUACCAUCCAGUUGAUAGUCCUUCAUGGCAGCAAACGUUCUUCCAAUGGCUGUUGCUUCCUGAGAAAUCCACCCAUAAUGAAAUUAGUGAGAAACAAGGAAAGGAAAGAGUUUGAUAAAAGAACCACAAAAUAAAACCUCUUCUCCUAGCAAAGGUGAUCAAAUUGACUCACCGUAAGUGCUAUCAUGCCAGCCACCACUCCGAUCCUGAAGCCUUUUGUCAGAAACGGGCCACUGAAGAAAAUUUGAUCAGCUGAUGGGGGAUUGAUUCCUUUUUCUAUGUGAUUCACCUUCAUUCAUGAAUAGAAAAUUAGAUUUCUGCUGCAGUGUCCCUACUGUUUAAAAUUAUCAUCAAAUUUGAAACUCCUAAUCCUUUUAUCACAAGGAAAAGAUGGAAAUGCUUACAAUUGAAACUCCUUUCUUUUCAGCAUGAGUUAAAAAGACAAAGAGGGUAGAGAGAACAACUGAUAUCAAUGGUGCAAUUGCUGGCACCCAGAAAAGUUUCUUGUUCCUUUUUCCCUGUUUCUCAAAAAAAGUUGGAAAUCAGAACUAUGAUUUGCAAAUAAAUCGAGAGUAACUGGAAGUAAUAGCAGAGACUCUUACAAU
RNAcentral lists this long non-coding RNA (3512 nucleotides) under Carica papaya (papaya). RNAcentral's name for it is "long non-coding RNA (CPAP_LNC008017)". Lineage: Eukaryota; Viridiplantae; Streptophyta; Magnoliopsida; Brassicales; Caricaceae. The record is from RNAcentral.